CCUACGGGUGGCUGCAGUGAGGAAUAUUGGUCAAUGGACGAGAGUCUGAACCAGCCAAGUAGCGUGAAGGAUGACUGCCCUAUGGGUUGUAAACUUCUUUUAUAUGGGAAUAAAACGUUCCACGUGUGGGAUUUUGUAUGUACCAUAUGAAUAAGGAUCGGCUAACUCCGUGCCAGCAGCCGCGGUAAUACGGAGGAUCCGAGCGUUAUCCGGAUUUAUUGGGUUUAAAGGGAGCGUAGGUGGAUUGUUAAGUCAGUUGUGAAAGUUUGCGGCUCAACCGUAAAAUUGCAGUUGAAACUGGCAGUCUUGAGUACAGUAGAGGUGGGCGGAAGUCGUGGUGUAGCGGUGAAAUGCUUAGAGAUCACGAAGAACUCCGAUUGCGAAGGCAGUUCACUGGACUGCAACUGACACUGAGGCUCGAAAGUGUGGGUAUCAAACAGGAUUAGAUACCCCAGUAGUC
Molecule: ribosomal RNA, 460 nt
Filed under: uncultured bacterium
Lineage: Bacteria
Description: partial 16S ribosomal RNA
Rfam family: Bacterial small subunit ribosomal RNA
Source: RNAcentral